UUUUUUGUUUUUGUUUUGACAUUACUAAUACUGUAUUGUAUGAGCAAGCUGUUAAGCUCUGAUUGUGUAUGAAGCUGUGACUACCAAUCAGUUUGAUAUUCAAGGAAAGCAUGGAGAUUAUUCAAGAAAAAAUUGAAAAUUCUGUUUUAGACCUGAAUACUGGAUAGGUCAAAAAGAUUUCAGCGGUUCAAACUGCCCUGUGACUUUUUUCCUUUUUAAAAAUUUUUCUUGUUUGUUAGUCUCUGUUGUAAAGACUGUCUACCCCCAAAAGCAGAAUAACCAUUUACUGAACUGUGUGUUUCUUACUACUUUGACCGGUUUAAUCAAAUCAUAUAACUAUUCUAAGCUGCAUAAUGGAAUAUUGAAAGAUUUUACUCAGUUAGAAAUUAAAGUCCCAGGAUGGUACUGACCUGCCAGUAGUUUAAAGAAUGAGAUAGUGCUUCUCGAUGUGGGGGUGAAAAUCUCCAACUCUGGCCUCCAGAGGCAGGCGCGGCAGGUGGGUCUCGGCUCUCGUCCAUCCAGGACUCUACCUCUCUCUAGUGUCUGUCUAAGAAAAAAAGAUGAAACCAUUAACUGUCUUAAAUGGUAUAAAAGAAAAACUCAAACAUUCAUUUGGGGAAUUUGUUUACAAUAUUUAUCAUUUUUCUUUUACUUACCCCCAAGUACAGUUUAGAAUUCACAGAGGAAAAGGAUUUUUUGAGAUAAAGUGAAAAGUGGUUGAAGAAAAUAAAUGCAUAAUUUCUCGGUGAAUAAAGUUGUAGCUGUCAUACAUUAAAUAGGUAAAGUUACAUGCUGGUAUCUAGAAAACAGCUCAAAUAUGAAAAAACCAUGUUGCAUUAAUCUGUUUUAAGUCAGAUCAUUUCUACAGUUUUAUGUAGGCUGGUGGUUGAUUUUUCUUCUUAGGGAUAGUUUACAAUAGUAACAACUGUCCCUUACAUUAGUGAGUUACGUAUGUACAAAUUGAAACUGUAAAUUGUGAACACUGGAAAAGCACCAUUGUGACAUAAACAUCGUAGAAAUAUAUUUAAAAUGAAUGUAAAUGGAAGUUAAAUUACAUUACUGUGAAGCUUCACCUUCCACCUCUGAAGUGUCUGAGAUUUGUGUUCGUGGGUAAUUCCUAAGAGCUUUGGAAACACUGCACAGUCCGUGUAACCCGAGUUAUUAUUUCUUUGUAACUUAUUACUCAGCUUGGCGAGCGCUUUUGAUUUGAUGGAUUGAUAACAUGGUAUAAUAUAUUUACUUAGUUGGAAACAAUUAUUUCUACAUACUUUUUUUUCUAAAUAUCUGCUAGAUGAAACAUACAAUAAAACUACCUGUACUAACAUUUGGGAGAGCUUUAGAAAGUAUUAAUAAUUGUCGGCUACAUCUAUGAUAAAAGUGUUUAUUCUGGGUUACUUAGAAAUGACAAACAUUUAAAGUGUUAACAUCUUAUGAAUGCAGUGGAUCAAUAGAAUAAACAUUUUGCAAAAAAAAAUUGAAAAUAUAGG
Molecule: long non-coding RNA, 1487 nt
Filed under: Rattus norvegicus (Norway rat)
Lineage: Eukaryota; Metazoa; Chordata; Mammalia; Rodentia; Muridae
Description: long non-coding RNA NONRATT020288
Source: RNAcentral